RNAcentral lists this ribosomal RNA (284 nucleotides) under Fusicatenibacter saccharivorans. RNAcentral describes it as "partial 16S ribosomal RNA". It matches the Rfam family "Bacterial small subunit ribosomal RNA", at positions 493 to 776 of the family's 1533-position model. The record is from RNAcentral. Lineage: Bacteria; Bacillati; Bacillota; Clostridia; Lachnospirales; Lachnospiraceae.
UCUUUUCCUUUUUUUCCCUCCGCCGCGGUAAUACGUAGGGGGCAAGCGUUAUCCGGAUUUACUGGGUGUAAAGGGAGCGUAGACGGCAAGGCAAGUCUGAUGUGAAAACCCAGGGCUUAACCCUGGGACUGCAUUGGAAACUGUCUGGCUCGAGUGCCGGAGAGGUAAGCGGAAUUCCUAGUGUAGCGGUGAAAUGCGUAGAUAUUAGGAAGAACACCAGUGGCGAAGGCGGCUUACUGGACGGUAACUGACGUUGAGGCUCGAAAGCGUGGGGAGCAAACAGG